AUGCACGCUGGCGGCGUGCCUAAUACAUGCAAGUCGAGCGAACAGAUGAGGAGUUUGCUCCUCUGACGUUAGCGGCGGACGGGUGAGUACCACGUGGUUAACCUACCUAUAAGACUGGGAUAACUUCGGGAAACCGUAGUUAAUACCGGAUAAUAUAUUGUACCGCCUGGUUUAAUAGUGAAAGACGGUUUUGCUGUCACCUAUUGCUGGAUCCGCGCCGCAUUAGCUAGUUGGUAAGGUAACGGCUCACCAAGGCAACGAUGCGUAGCCGGGCUGAGAGGAUGAUCGGCCACACUAGAACUGAGACACGGUCCAGACUCCUACGGGAGGCAGCAGUAGGGAAUCUUCGACAAUGGGCGAAAGCCUGACGGAGCAACGCCGCGUGAGUGAUGAAGGUCUUCGGAUCGUAAAGCACUGUUAGUAGGGAGGAACAAAUGUGAAAGUAACUAUUCACGUCUUGACGGUACCUAAUCAGAAAGCCACGGCUAACUACGUG
RNAcentral lists this ribosomal RNA (496 nucleotides) under uncultured bacterium. Its description in RNAcentral is "partial 16S ribosomal RNA". It matches the Rfam family "Bacterial small subunit ribosomal RNA", at positions 29 to 507 of the family's 1533-position model. The record is from RNAcentral.